Stegostoma tigrinum is the source of this 132-nucleotide small nucleolar RNA. The record is from RefSeq and is a predicted model, not a curated record. NCBI's taxonomy places the organism in Eukaryota, Metazoa, Chordata, Chondrichthyes, Orectolobiformes, Stegostomatidae.
AAGCACAACUUAGUGUCUUGGUAACUUGUCUGUGGCCUUCCACGUCUCAUUCUUAUGCAAGAUCAAAUUCCAGUUUGUAGAAGGGCUGAGCUUUUACUUAUAGUUUGUCUCUUUCAAAGACUGGGGACAAUU